This 253-nucleotide ribosomal RNA is filed under the name uncultured bacterium. Its description in RNAcentral is "partial 16S ribosomal RNA". It matches the Rfam family "Bacterial small subunit ribosomal RNA", at positions 524 to 776 of the family's 1533-position model. The record is from RNAcentral.
GACGAACCGUGCGAACGUUAUUCGGAAUUACUGGGCUUAAAGGGUGCGUAGGCGGCGCAGAAAGUAGGGUGUGAAAUCCCUCGGCUCAACCGAGGAACUGCGCCCUAAACUACUGUGCUCGAGGGAGGUAGAGGUGAGCGGAACUUAGGGUGGAGCGGUGAAAUGCGUUGAUAUCCUAAGGAACACCGGUGGCGAAAGCGGCUCACUGGACCUCUUCUGACGCUGAGGCACGAAAGCUAGGGUAGCGAACGGG